Molecule: transfer RNA, 86 nt
Filed under: Synergistaceae bacterium
Lineage: Bacteria; Thermotogati; Synergistota; Synergistia; Synergistales; Synergistaceae
Description: tRNA-Tyr
Rfam family: tRNA
About the family: Transfer RNA (tRNA) molecules are approximately 80 nucleotides in length. Their secondary structure includes four short double-helical elements and three loops (D, anti-codon, and T loops).
Source: RNAcentral
GGUGGAGUGGCCGAGUGGUCAAAGGCAACAGACUGUAAAUCUGUCGGCUAGCGCCUACGUUGGUUCGAACCCAACCUCCACCACCA